CCUACGGGAGGCAGCAGUGAGGAAUAUUGGUCAAUGGGCGCGAGCCUGAACCAGCCAAGUAGCGUGAAGGAUGACUGCCCUACGGGUUGUAAACUUCUUUUGUCAGGGAAUAAAGUGAGGCACGUGUGCCUUUUUGUGUGUACUUUAUGAAUAAGCAUCGGCUAACUCCGUGCCAGCAGCCGCGGUAAUACGGAGGAUGCGAGCGUUAUCCGGAUUUAUUGGGUUUAAAGGGUGCGUAGAUGGGUUGUUAAGUCAGUGGUGAAAGUCUGCGGCUCAACCGUAAAAUUGCAUUUGAUACUGGUCGUCUUGAGUACAGUUGAGGUAGGCGGAAUGCGUGGUGUAGCGGUGAAAUGCUUAGAGAUCAUGAAGAACUCCGAUUGCGAAGGCAGCUUACUAAACUGCCACUGACAUUGAUGCUCGAAAGUGUGGGGAGCAAACAGGAUUAGAUACCCUGGUAGUC
RNAcentral lists this ribosomal RNA (460 nucleotides) under uncultured bacterium. Its description in RNAcentral is "partial 16S ribosomal RNA". It matches the Rfam family "Bacterial small subunit ribosomal RNA", at positions 338 to 795 of the family's 1533-position model. The record is from RNAcentral.